This 449-nucleotide ribosomal RNA is filed under the name uncultured bacterium. RNAcentral describes it as "bacterial SSU rRNA". It matches the Rfam family "Bacterial small subunit ribosomal RNA", at positions 329 to 795 of the family's 1533-position model. The record is from RNAcentral.
UGCCAGACUCCUACGGGAGGCAGCAGUCGGGAAUAUUGCGCAAUGGAGGAAACUCUGACGCAGUGACGCCGCGUGCAGGAAGAAGGUUUUCGGAUUGUAAACUGCUUUAGACAGGGAAGAAACAAGACAGUACCUGUAGAAUAAGCUCCGGCUAACUACGUGCCAGCAGCCGCGGUAAUACGUAGGGAGCAAGCGUUAUCCGGAUUUAUUGGGUUUAAAGGGUGCGUAGGCGGAAUGCCAAGUCAGCGGUAAAAUCGCGGGGCUCAACCUCGCUCCGCCGUUGAAGCUGGCGUUCUUGAGUGGGCGAGAAGUAUGCGGAAUGCGUGGUGUAGCGGUGAAAUGCAUAGAUAUCACGCAGAACUCCGAUUGCGAAGGCAGCAUACCGGCGCCCAACUGACGCUGAAGCACGAAAGCGUGGGUAUCGAACAGGAUUAGAUACCCGAGUAGUG